GGAGUAACUCAAGACGAUCGCGAGAUGGUGACUCUGUUCACAUCUCGAGGAAAGUCCGGGCUGCAUAGAGCAAGGAUGCCGGGUAACGCCCGGUGGGGGUGACCCUGAGGAUAGUGCCACAGAAAAGAACCGCCAGCUGUGUUGUGCCGAUGGUAACACCACCUCUGGUAAGGGUGAAAAGGUGCGGUAAGAGCGCACCGCCCUGCACGGUAACGGGCAGGGGCUAGGCAAACCCCAUCCGCAGCAAGGCCAAAUAGGGAGACAGAUAGCGCUGCUCGCGCUGGUCUCCGGGUUGGCUGCUGGAGCCAAUAGGCAACUAUUGGCGUAGAUGAAUGAUCGUCUCCCACUGCGCAAGCGGAUGGCAGACAGAACCCGGCUUACUGAGUUACUCCGCCC
Molecule: RNase P RNA, 396 nt
Filed under: Mariprofundales bacterium
Lineage: Bacteria; Pseudomonadati; Pseudomonadota; Candidatius Mariprofundia; Mariprofundales
Description: RNase P RNA component class A
Rfam family: Bacterial RNase P class A
About the family: Ribonuclease P (RNase P) is a ubiquitous endoribonuclease, found in archaea, bacteria and eukarya as well as chloroplasts and mitochondria. Its best characterised activity is the generation of mature 5'-ends of tRNAs by cleaving the 5'-leader elements of precursor-tRNAs.
Source: RNAcentral